AGUGUUGCGGUUAAAAAGCUCGUAGUUGGAUUUCUGUUGAGGAUGGCCAGUCCGCACUUUGUGCGAGUAUUUGGUUCAGCCUCGGCAUCCUCCUGGGGAGCGUGCCUGUACUUAAUUGUAUGACGCGUAAUUCAGGACUUUUACUUUGAGGAAAUUAGAGUGUUCACGGCAGGCGAUAGCCUUGAAUAUGUUAGCAUGGAAUAAUAAUAUAAGACCUCGGUUUUAUUUUGUUGGUUUCUAGAAGCGAGGUAAUGAUUAAUAGGGAUAAUUGGGGGUAUUCGAAUUAAUGCGUCAGAGGUGGAAUUCUUGGAUUGCAUUACGACGAACUACUGCGAAAGCAUUUACCAAGGAUGUUUUCAUUG
Molecule: ribosomal RNA, 362 nt
Filed under: uncultured marine eukaryote
Lineage: Eukaryota
Description: SSU rRNA
Rfam family: Eukaryotic small subunit ribosomal RNA
Source: RNAcentral